AGUGAACGCUGGCGGUAGGCCUAACACAUGCAAGUCGAACGGCAGCACAGGAGAGCUUGUUCUCUGGGUGGCGAGUGGCGGACGGGUGAGGAAUACAUCGGAAUCUACUCUGUCGUGGGUGAUAACGUAGGGAAACUUACGCUAAUACCGCAUACGCCCUACGUGUGAAAGCAGGGGACCUUCGGGCCUUGCGCGAUGGAAUGAGCAGAUGUCGGAUUAGCUAGUUGGAGGGGUAAAGGCCCACCAAGGCGACGAGCCGUAGCUGGUCUGAGAGGAUGAACAGCCACACUGGAACUGAGACACGGUCCAGACUCCUACGGGAGGCAGCAGUGGGGAAUAUUGGACAAUGGGCGCAAGCCUGAUCCAGCCAUACCGCGUGGGUGAAGAAGGCCUUCGGGUUGUAAAGCCCUUUUGUUGGGAAAGAAAUCCAGCUGGCUAAUACCCGGUUGGGAUGACGGUACCCAAAGAAUAAGCACCGGCUAACUUCGUGCCAGCCGCCGCAGUAA
This 506-nucleotide ribosomal RNA is filed under the name uncultured bacterium. RNAcentral's name for it is "partial 16S ribosomal RNA". It matches the Rfam family "Bacterial small subunit ribosomal RNA", at positions 29 to 523 of the family's 1533-position model. The record is from RNAcentral.